GCUGAGGUGGGAGGAACAUGAGCUGGAGGCUGGCCUAGACCACAUAGCAAGACCCUUAACAACAAACAAACAAAUAACACCAAAAACCAUAAACACAUAAGUAUACUGAAUUAGUAAAUUCUCUAGCAAAACCUUUAACAGAAGUUAGUUUUGUAAAUGCUUAAUAGACCUAGACAAAAUCUCAUUCAAUCUGAUGAGUUUAAUAAAACAAAAUAGUUUGUUUGAAUACUUAUUUUGAAAACACUAUAUUUAAAAAAAAACAAAAAAACAAAACAAAAAAAUCUUGGGAAGGCAAGAGGAUGCUGGGUACAAGCGCUUGCUGGGAAGCCGAGAACCUGAAUCUGAUCUCCAGAACCCACGUGGGGAAAGGCAAGAAUCACAACAAUGUCUACUGACCUCCAUGUGUGCUCUGGUGUGCACACACAAGAAAUACAAAAACAACAACAAAAACCCCAAAAACAAUAGGCACAGAGGCACUCACCUUUAACCUCAGCACCUGGGAGGCAGAGGCAGGUGUCUCUCUUAAGAGUUCAAGGUUAAAGGCCAACUUGGUCCACAUAGCAAGUUCCAGGCCAGUCAGGGCUACAUAGUGAGACCAUGUCUCAAAACAACCAAAGCCACAUCUAAAGCUUUGAAUCAGAAAUGCAAUGGUGCUACUCUGAUAGGAAGUCUCCUGUCCCCAAUCUUCUUGAAGACCAAAUAUUGUAAUUCCACAUGAAUAAACUCCAUGGCUAACUACAGCAAAUCUUACUUUCCAUUUCUGAGUUAGACAGAACUAGGACUUACUUUACCACUUCAUAAAAAACCAAUAGUUGGUCCUAUUACUUUCAAAUUGUUCUGACUGCAACCAACACUCUAGUAAGCAAGAUAUUUGCUGUGUUGUACAGGCAUGUGAUGAGUUUUAUUUAGAACGUUUCUAAGGAUUCUGCUUCAACAGUGUUGCAUGCAGCAUUCAAGCAUCUUUAUGAAGAAGUCUAUUUUGCAGAGAUCAUGUGUCAUCAAGAUCUGCAGAGGGCUGGUGAGAUGGCUCAGUGGAUAAGAGCACCCAACUGCUCUUCCGAAGGACCAAAGUUCAAAUCCCAGCAACCACAUGGUGGCUCACAACCACCCGUAAUGAGAUCUGAUGCCCUCUUCUGGUGUCUGAAGACAGCUACAGUGUUCUUACAUAUAAUAAAUAAAUAAAUCUAUAAAAAAAAAAAAAAAAAAAAAAAAAAAAGAUCUGCAGAGUUCUCGUUGUCAUUUGCAACAAGGGCUUCUCUGUUCUCGUAGGUCCAGAAGCCAUUGAGAUCAAUUAGAAUGGUAGUGACUGUGUCUCCUUGAUUACUGUUGAUUAAAUCCUGAAGUGAGAUUUUCAAAGGAUCCUUUGGUUUGACCAUGUCAAAGAUUUCAUCCUAUAAGAGAAGAAAAGAUUAUGAAAGCUGAUUGAAGUAGCUUGUGUCACACAGUGCUAUUAAACUCAGGGUGGACAUUUGAACUAUUGUACAAGUUUUUAUUGCAGUUUCUUCUUCCCCACCUGAUAGGUAUCUCUAACCACAGAAUUUGUUGGGUAAUUCUUUAGCUGAAUAACUAUCUCUUAUUUUAUAGAUGAAGAAAACAGGCUCAGUUUAAUCUAAGCUCAUAGCUAAUAAAGGACAGAGCUAUCCAAUACAGCAUUCUCUGAAUGCAAUGAACUAGUUACGGUUUUUAUUGCCUCCUAAUGGUGAAGCAAAGUCUCGACACAAUUUUCUUUUUUCCCCCACUGCUGGGAGUCAAACCCAAGACAUCCAUCUCAUGCCAGGCAAGCUCUGACACUGAGCUCUGCCAUGAUGCCUCUUAAGAGCUCAGCUAAGGAGUAAAACCUCAGGUGGCUCAGAGAUAGUGACAGUAAUCGUGCCUUUCACACUCUCUUCACAGUAUGGGGAGAAUGGAACUCCAUGUUAAAGAACUAGUCAUCCAUAAUAAUGAAACUGUUCCUAGACUAGAAUUCCGGAAAGACCCUCUUCUAGGUUAUCAAGUAUACAAUAUAAAUAUUUGCAAAGCAUUAACCUCUGUAGACCAGGCUGGCCUCGAACUCAGAAAUCCGCCUGCCUCUGCCUCCCGAGUGCUGGGAUCAAAGGCAUGCGCCACCACGCUGGGCUUGCAAUUCCGUUUUUAAAAAAUUUAGAGUUACUUGAAUCUAUGUAGUCUUCCAGUUGAAUGUUGCAUUUACAGUAAAAAGGACUGCUAAAGGAUACAAGCUAACUGAUAAAUAAAAUGAAUGUUUUCAUGAGAACCCAAGACUAAUAAUGAAAUUAUCAAAUUCAUCAAUCAGAAGUCCAAAUUUGUCUCCAUUUCUGAUGAUUUAAGUUUCAGUUCAGAACAAGUAACAGCAAAAACCUGAUUUAGAAUGGUGUUUCAUACUUCAUAAAUCACUUUCAUACAAAAUUGGAUACAGCAUUCCUUAGCAUUACUGUGGCUAUAUUAUCUGACAAUAUGACAUAGGUAAAUAAAAAUAUAAUAACCUUGACAUCUUGAAACGACACAGGAUCCUGUCCAUGGAUUUUCAUUAGUUCUUGUAUGGCCUGUAUUUAAUGGAAAUAAAUCUGUAAAUAAAAAAUUAAUUCAUAAACC
This 2589-nucleotide long non-coding RNA is filed under the name Mus musculus (house mouse). RNAcentral's name for it is "long non-coding RNA chr12:55140892-55143481". The record is from RNAcentral. Lineage: Eukaryota; Metazoa; Chordata; Mammalia; Rodentia; Muridae.